GCUCAUUCAGUCUUUCACUACCAAAGACACGGCGUGGUAAACUUCACAAAUCCACCGGGAAGAAUUAUGGUUAUCAUUAUAAAACUAAGUUUUCUUUGGCAGUCGCACAGCGAACACCAUGCAUCCGCAAUAAAAUGACUCGAUCCCUUUGUAACAGGGGUUCAGAUGGCACCACCAGGCCGACUAGCUGUUCUGGCCUGUAGAGGCGGCUGUACGAAGUCCGUGAUGUGAAGCUGCCAUCACGUCGUCAGGAGUUUGGUUUCAGUCUGAGACCAUGUGACCUGCAUUGGACCGCCCUCCACCCCAUCCCUCAGACUCUCAAUGCUGCAGUCUGGUUGGUCAAGCUGAGACCAUGUGACCUGCAGUGAUCCAUCAGCCCUCUGGUUCCAUAGAUGGGAGGGGCUUCCCACCACAAUGGCUGCCCAUCCUGUGGUUUCUCUGGAGUGUUGGUUUCAGAACCAGAAGUGUGCUGAUUGACUUCCAUCAUGUUGAAGUGGUGGUUACUACCUACAGCUGGUGUUAUCCAAUACAUGUGCUAUGUAUCAAGCUAAGCAUUGUAUGUGGGCCAAAUCGUGAGCUAAAUCUUGUAGUGAAUGUAGAGAUUGGCCAAGUUCAAGAGACUAGACUGUUUGAAUCCUGGAUUGUAAAACUGAAAUGGUACAUUUACUGAUUUAACAGUAGCUGGGGGGGGGGGUCCUGUCUGUAACACUGCUCUGGUUUCUUGAUAGUCAAUUAGUUUAGACCCUAGUUUUAGCACACCUGGGCUACAGUCCAAACACUUAAGAUGCACCCUACCCCCUUCAGCCCUCAUUAAGUGGACACUUCUGAUAUCAGACAGCAUUAUAGGUUGAGUGUACAUUUGCAGGGCAUGGAAGGAUUUUUAAAAUGGCUGCCCUUACCUGGAAAUCUAUUGCUCCUCCUGCGAUUUGUCUUUUAGCCACCAUAGUAUUGUAAGUCGCUCUGGAUAAGAGCGUCUGCUAAAUGACUUAAAUGUAAAUGUAAAAUGUAGCUUGUGGGUGCUUUUAUGUGCUACAGUCAAUUAUAAUUGCAUGUCUAAAUAUCUUAGCAAAUUAAUUAGUUACCUACCGUUAGCCUGUAGCUGGAACAUUGAAGAUAAAUGUAGUAAUACAAUUUCCAAAAGCUAACCAAAUAGUACUUUAUGAGAUGUUUGUACUGUCAUGUGCAUUAGUAGUACAAUUUAGAACUUAUUUACGUUCACUUGUAAAUUGACCACUAAAACGAGGGCUGAGGGGGCUUACGUUGUGAGCUUCCCUUGCUUGGCUAAUAAUUUGCACUGCCUGCCAAGAUGGUGACUUUAUUCCCCCAAGGGCAUAGAGUGAGGGUUUUUAGUUUGGACUGUGGCCCUGUACUAAUGUCCCGUUAUAUAGUGAAGUGCCACAAAGGACACAGGCAAAUUAGUUUGCCCAGAAUGGCAGUGCAACUGGCAUUUAAUGGGUACUUCAGGAUUUUGGCACACAGUAAGGGUACUGUUUUUAUUUAUGUAGGCUGUAGUUUAUUACUUAUUUUGUUUACCGUUUCUGUUAUCCUCACCCUGCCUCUAUCUGGACCCUACAGUCAGCAGCAGUAUCUUGGGUCUUUUGUUCUGUUAAGGUAGUCAAUAAAGUUUUUACAAUGUG
Molecule: long non-coding RNA, 1637 nt
Organism: Oncorhynchus gorbuscha (pink salmon)
Lineage: Eukaryota; Metazoa; Chordata; Actinopteri; Salmoniformes; Salmonidae
Exons: 5
Source: RefSeq, a predicted model, not a curated record